GGCGCACGGGUGAGUAAUACGUGGACAACCUGCCUUGGAGCUUGGGAUAACCCGUCGAAAGACGGACUAAUACCGAAUAAGACCACGGGGAGUUCGCUCUCUGAGGUAAAAGGUGGCCUCUGCUCCUGCAAGCUAUCACUUCAAGAGGGAUCCGCGGCCUAUCAGCUAGUUGUGAGGUAACGGCCCACCAAGGCUAAGACGGGUAGCUGGUCUGAGAGGAUGGUCAGCCGACACUGGGACUGAGACACGGUCCAGAGUCAUACGGGAGGCAGCAGUGGGGAAUAUUGCGCAAUGGCCGCAAGGCUGACGCAGCGACGCCGCGUGUGGGAUGACGGUCUUCGGAUUGUAAACCACUGUCAGGGGGAACGAAUACCGGGCGACGAAUAGCCGACCCGGGGUGACGGUACCUCCAAAGGAAGCACCGGCUAACUCCGUGCCAGCCGC
Molecule: ribosomal RNA, 444 nt
Filed under: uncultured bacterium
Lineage: Bacteria
Description: bacterial SSU rRNA
Rfam family: Bacterial small subunit ribosomal RNA
Source: RNAcentral